This 177-nucleotide ribosomal RNA is filed under the name uncultured Gammaproteobacteria bacterium. Its description in RNAcentral is "partial 16S ribosomal RNA". It matches the Rfam family "Bacterial small subunit ribosomal RNA", at positions 335 to 504 of the family's 1533-position model. The record is from RNAcentral. Lineage: Bacteria; Pseudomonadati; Pseudomonadota; Gammaproteobacteria.
ACUCCUACGGGAGGCAGCAGUGGGGAAUAUUGGACAAUGGGGGCAACCCUGAUCCAGCCAUGCCGCGUGUGUGAAGAAGGCUUUCGGGUUGUAAAGCACUUUCAGUGAGGAGGAAGGCUGUAAGGUUAAUACCCUUGCAGAUUGACGUUACUCACAGAAGAAGCACCGGCUAACUCC